GCUAUUCGAACCUCGCUGUGGCAUGCAUGACAUUGGAGGCUGGUAUGUCGAAACAUAUGGUAGGGAUAAGAAGGCACGUACUGUACCAUCCCAGAGACACUGGGAUGGUUUGGAUUCAAAUGAACUGUUUGACAAGAGACUCCAUCCAGCAAUGUAUUUGCUUGCUCUUGCCUAUAGAAGUCUAGAUAUUGAAGAUGCAAGGAGAAGGAAGAAAACCGUGAAGGAUAUUAUUGAAACUAAAAUGUUUAGAAUUCUCAGCUGGUGCAAGAAACUAGCCUAAAAAAGUUGCCUAAGGCUUUCUCAAGUUGGAACUCGGAAGUGCCCAUAUCCAGAAUCGUCAUUGCAUCAUGCCUGAUGUUUAGUAGACUGGUCUUCCAUCAGCAGCUUCUGCAGCAGCUGCUGCUAGAUCAUCAUCAUCUAUGACUUCUACCGGCAACCGAAAUAAUUCCUCUUUCCUAUGAUUUUCUCGUGGAAAUUUUAUACAGAGGCAAGGUUUAACUGAAAGCUAGAAGAUUACGACAAUCGGAACUCAGACAGGCAUUUUCUCACUGCUCAACAAGUUAUGGAAAAAACUUACCG
Coffea eugenioides is the source of this 579-nucleotide long non-coding RNA. RefSeq lists it as uncharacterized. Lineage: Eukaryota; Viridiplantae; Streptophyta; Magnoliopsida; Gentianales; Rubiaceae. The transcript is spliced from 4 exons. The record is from RefSeq and is a predicted model, not a curated record.